This 486-nucleotide ribosomal RNA is filed under the name uncultured bacterium. RNAcentral's name for it is "partial 16S ribosomal RNA". It matches the Rfam family "Bacterial small subunit ribosomal RNA", at positions 899 to 1397 of the family's 1533-position model. The record is from RNAcentral.
ACUCAAAUGAAUUGACGGGGGCUCGCACAAGCGGUGGAGCAUGUGGUUUAAUUCGACGACAAGCGGGGCACCUCACCCAGGCUUGACAUCUAGGGAAAGUCCAUGAAAGUGGACCGUGCCGCAAGGAACCCUAAGACAGGUGUUGCACGGUCGUCGUCAGCUCGUGUCGUGAGAUGUACGGUUAAGUCCGUAAACGAGCGAAACCCACGUCCAGUGUUAUAUUUUUCACUGGAGACCGCCGGCGUUAAGCCGGAGGAAGGUGUGGAUGACGUCAGAUCAGCGUGGCCCUUACGCCUGGGGCUACACACGUGCUACAAUGCCAUAGACAAUGGGUCGCCAAGCCGCAAGGCGGAGCUAAUCCCACCAAAAUAUGGCCCAGUUCGGAUUGGAGUCUGCAACUCGACUCCAUGAAGCCGGAAUCGCUAGUAACCGCGUAUCAGCCACGUCGCGGUGAAUACGUUCUCGAGCCUUGUACACACCGCCCGU